GACGAACGCUGGCGGCGUGCUUAACACAUGCAAGUCGAACGGAAAGGCCCUGCUUUUGUGGGGUGCUCGAGUGGCGAACGGGUGAGUAACACGUGAGUAACCUGCCCUUGACUUUGGGAUAACUUCAGGGAACUGGGGCUAAUACCGGAUAGGAGCUCCUGCUGCAUGGUGGGGGUUGGAAAGUUUCGGCGGUUGGGGAUGGACUCGCGGCUUAUCAGCUUGUUGGUGGGGUAGUGGCUUACCAAGGCUUUGACGGGUAGCCGGCCUGAGAGGGUGACCGGCCACAUUGGGACUGAGAUACGGCCCAGACUCCUACGGGAGGCAGCAGUGGGGAAUAUUGCACAAUGGGCGGAAGCCUGAUGCAGCAACGCCGCGUGCGGGAUGACGGCCUUCGGGUUGUAAACCGCUUUCGCCUGUGACGAAGCGUGAGUGACGGUAAUGGGUAAAGAAGCACCGGCUAACUACGUGCCAGCAGCCGCGGUGAUACGUAGGGUGCGAGCGUUGUCCGGAUUUAUUGGGCGUAAAGGGCUCGUAGGUGGUUGAUCGCGUCGGAAGUGUAAUCUUGGGGCUUAACCCUGAGCGUGCUUUCGAUACGGGUUGACUUGAGGAAGGUAGGGGAGAAUGGAAUUCCUGGUGGAGCGGUGGAAUGCGCAGAUAUCAGGAGGAACACCAGUGGCGAAGGCGGUUCUCUGGGCCUUUCCUGACGCUGAGGAGCGAAAGCGUGGGGAGCGAACAGGCUUAGAUACCCUGGUAGUCCACGCUGUAAACGGUGGGUACUAGGUGUGGGGUCCAUUCCACGGGUUCCGUGCCGUAGCUAACGCUUUAAGUACCCCGCCUGGGGAGUACGGCCGCAAGGCUAAAACUCAAAGGAAUUGACGGGGCCCCGCACAAGCGGCGGAGCAUGCGGAUUAAUUCGAUGCAACGCGUAGAACCUUACCUGGGUUUGACAUGGAUCGGGAGUGCUCAGAGAUGGGUGUGCCUCUUUUGGGGUCGGUUCACAGGUGGUGCAUGGCUGUCGUCAGCUCGUGUCGUGAGAUGUUGGGUUAAGUCCCGCAACGAGCGCAACCCUUGUUCACUGUUGCCAGCACGUUAUGGUGGGGACUCAGUGGAGACCGCCGGGGUCAACUCGGAGGAAGGUGGGGAUGACGUCAAGUCAUCAUGCCCCUUAUGUCCAGGGCUUCACGCAUGCUACAAUGGCUGGUACAGAGAGUGGCGAGCCUGUGAGGGUGAGCGAAUCUCGGAAAGCCGGUCUCAGCUCGGAUUGGGGUCUGCAACUCGACCUCAUGAAGUCGGAGUCGCUAGUAAUCGCAGAUCAGCAACGCUGCGGUGAAUACGUUCCCGGGGCU
This 1346-nucleotide ribosomal RNA is filed under the name uncultured bacterium. RNAcentral describes it as "partial 16S ribosomal RNA". It matches the Rfam family "Bacterial small subunit ribosomal RNA", at positions 28 to 1381 of the family's 1533-position model. The record is from RNAcentral.